RNAcentral lists this ribosomal RNA (497 nucleotides) under uncultured bacterium. Its description in RNAcentral is "partial 16S ribosomal RNA". It matches the Rfam family "Bacterial small subunit ribosomal RNA", at positions 28 to 507 of the family's 1533-position model. The record is from RNAcentral.
GAUGAACGCUGGCGGCGUGCCUAAUACAUGCAAGUAGAACGCUGAAGGAAGGAGCCUGCUCUUUCCGGAUGAGUUGCGAACGGGUGAGUAACGCGUAGGUAACCUGCCUGGUAGCGGGGGAUAACUAUUGGAAACGAUAGCUAAUACCGCAUAACAGUAGAUGUUGCAUGACAACUAUUUGAAAGGGGCAAUUGCUCCACUACCAGAUGGACCUGCGUUGUAUUAGCUAGUUGGUGAGGUAACGGCUCACCAAGGCGACGAUACAUAGCCGACCUGAGAGGGUGAUCGGCCACACUGGGACUGAGACACGGCCCAGACUCCUACGGGAGGCAGCAGUAGGGAAUCUUCGGCAAUGGACGGAAGUCUGACCGAGCAACGCCGCGUGAGUGAAGAAGGUUUUCGGAUCGUAAAGCUCUGUUGUAAGAGAAGAACGAGUGUGAGAGUGGAAAGUUCACACUGUGACGGUAUCUUACCAGAAAGGGACGGCUAACUACGUG